Molecule: long non-coding RNA, 881 nt
Organism: Salvia miltiorrhiza (redroot sage)
Lineage: Eukaryota; Viridiplantae; Streptophyta; Magnoliopsida; Lamiales; Lamiaceae
Exons: 2
Source: RefSeq, a predicted model, not a curated record
AUUAGUCUGCUAUAAAAUAAAUGAAAACCAAAUUUCAUAAUGGGAAAAUAGUGUAAAAUUGUAAAUACUGAAAUAUGCAAGGGCAAAAUCGUAACAUCAGCAUUCAACUCUUCAACAGCUUCGAAGGGUUAGGCCAGGGCUUUAUGCAUUUUGCAUUCUGAUAAACCCUAAAUUUUCGCAGAAUUAGGCCACAAGCUCUUGAAAUUUCGCGUGUUGAAGGUAAUAGAAUCUCCGUUGAAGGCUAGCAGAGAUUCUGCAGGAGGAGAGGGAAUCGCGCGAACGAUUCACCGGAGAGUGGAGGUGUUGAGGAGAAAUGACGGUCGCGAGCAAAAUCGGGGACUGGACUUUCAAAGCGUUCACGGCGGGGCUCGGCAUCGCCACCAUAUAUAUGACCGGUACUUUCUCCCUCAAUGUCUACCGUGGUCUCUCCUGGCACAAUGAACAAAAGAAAGCUGGGAAGGAGGGGAUUUUACAGAAGCCUGAGGAGGAGUCUACUGAUCAAAAUCCACAGUGAUCGUAGCCUCUGACGAAGUCCAUUGAAGACCGGAGUCUAGGCUCCAGCUGAAUUGAUUCAAGCAGCCAAAUUUCAUGUAAAAGUAUGCUAUAGCAAAAGUCAGAUUUUCAUACAUAUGUGCAACGGAACGGAUGGAUCUUGCUUUGAUCAUGAGUUUCUUAUCUUAGAAUAAAAUUCCAUCAAAGUAUCAAAAAGGUUUAUAGAACUUUUACUUUUCUGAAUUCUGAUUGAUGUUAUAGAAUUCGGAAUAAGAGGAGAUGUCUAGCUUGAUAAUGGGUAGCAUUAUUAAAUUGGAUAGUGUAUUGGGCACAUUAUUUGUUAUUUUAUUUUUAUGAGAAUUUAUAGGAUUUUUUUGUGACAUUUGCAA